AUUGCCUGGGCCCUGGCCCAGGGAUCCUGAGGAAGUGACAUCCACGUGUCCUUCCAAUCAGUGAGCUAGAGGCCCUCCCUGCCAGGUCUCUCCCAAGCCUCCUCACCAACAAUGAUGUCCCUGGAUAUUCUGCCCCAAAAGGCCAUUCGAAAUAUCUAAUGACUUACGGGGAGAGAAGUUGGUGUUAGGGUCGGGCAGGGAUGAUAUCUUCCCUCAACACAUCAGGGGUUCCCUAAGGAUGAAAAUGAAGCCUCCCCUCCAGUGCUAACAUAAGGCUCUGGGCCCAGCCCUUCAUCUGCGAUGAGCCUCCCAAACACUGAGCUAGCUCUGGCAAUGUGUGUGUCAACCUCAUUAUCAACGUGUACGUGCCUAGAAAGUGUACGGCCAAGAUAAGAAAACUGAGGCUCAGGAACAUCGUGACUUGUCCAAAGUCAUAUAGGAAGGGAUGGAAGUCAGGACCCCGGCUCUCAAUCUAGCGCUCUUCUCAUAGCAUCACCUUGUUCAGAUGUUACCAAAAAGAUGGCGGAUAGAAAAUAUAGGCAUAGAAUCACAUCCAGAGAAAGAACUGUGGAGUCUGAAUGCAGAUUAAAGCAGACUACUUUCUCUCUUUUUC
Molecule: long non-coding RNA, 613 nt
Organism: Vombatus ursinus (common wombat)
Lineage: Eukaryota; Metazoa; Chordata; Mammalia; Diprotodontia; Vombatidae
Exons: 4
Source: RefSeq, a predicted model, not a curated record